GAGAACCAAGAGAUCCGUUGUUGAAAGUUUUGACUAUUAAAAAUAAUCUCGUGACAAGUUUAUAAAAAAUUUGGUUGUAAGUUUAUGUCCUCUGGCGGCAGGCAGGGGCCCACCGCCAAAGCAAGUUUGUCCAGAACAAAACACAUGUGGUGCAAUUAAACAAAUCAAUAAUGAUCCUU
Molecule: unclassified non-coding RNA, 179 nt
Filed under: uncultured Candida
Lineage: Eukaryota; Fungi; Ascomycota; Saccharomycetes; Saccharomycetales
Description: sequence contains ITS1
Source: RNAcentral